GAAGUGCCUCGCAAGAGGAAUUCGGAGACAGGUGCUGCAUGGCUGUCGUCAGCUCGUGUCGUGAGAUGUUGGGUUAAGUCCCGCAACGAGCGCAACCCUUGUCUUUAGUUGCCAUCAUUAAGUUGGGCACUCUAAAGAGACUGCCGGUGUCAAAACCGGAGGAAGGUGGGGAUGACGUCAAGUCCUCAUGGCCUUUAUGACCAGGGCUACACACGUACUACAAUGGCAGGUACAAAGGGCAGCCACUUAGCGAUAAGGCGCGAAUCCCGUAAAGCCUGUCUCAGUCCGGAUUGGAGUCUGCAACUCGACUCCAUGAAGUUGGAAUCGCUAGUAAUCGCAGAUCAGCACGCUGCGGUGAAUACGUUCCCGGGCCUU
This 375-nucleotide ribosomal RNA is filed under the name uncultured Desulfocapsa sp. RNAcentral's name for it is "bacterial SSU rRNA". It matches the Rfam family "Bacterial small subunit ribosomal RNA", at positions 1009 to 1382 of the family's 1533-position model. The record is from RNAcentral. Lineage: Bacteria; Pseudomonadati; Thermodesulfobacteriota; Desulfobulbia; Desulfobulbales; Desulfocapsaceae.